Long non-coding RNA from Cavia porcellus (domestic guinea pig), 2326 nucleotides. RefSeq lists it as uncharacterized. The transcript has 3 exons. NCBI's taxonomy places the organism in Eukaryota, Metazoa, Chordata, Mammalia, Rodentia, Caviidae. The record is from RefSeq and is a predicted model, not a curated record.
UUUGCGCAAGCGCAGAGUUCUCCCAGAAGCCUAUUCCGUCAUGUCUACUAAGGGCAGAAAACACGCCCCGUUUUUAGACUGCUGCGGCCGACUACCAGUAGCAGUUUAUUCGUCACUUUCUCGUUCUUCUCCUCCGUCGUAGCUGCUUUGCGGGCGCGCGCCUGGUUGGAGGAGAGGGGCCUAGUGGUUACGACUGCCUUCCCCUGGUCCUGGGCUCCUCCACUUCUGUACAGGCGUCGCAGGCCGGACGAGGAGGGCUGGGCUCGCUGCGGUGGGAGCGGGAUCCGACCCAUCUCAGAGUGGGGACCCGGAGAAAGGCAAGGCUAGUCGGCUGGGACCCUUCUGCAGACCCCUCCGGUGCGCAUCCCAGGCACUUGCGUCUGCAGACCUGGCUCCCAGGAGCUAUGGGCAGGAGGCCCUCUUCAUUGGCCACCUAAGGCUGAAAGGAAGCAGAUGGCGAACACGGUUUCCAGGGCCCAGCGCGACUCUCGUUGGCACUCACGGUGGUGCCCAGUCCACAGCGCCAAGGCGCCAGAGGAAGGCUCCGCCUCGCGUAUCGGAAGUGACAUUCUGCGUGGACCUGGAGCUCAGCCUUCUAGGGGUUCCAGCGGGAGCCGCCCUUCCAUCCAGGCUCACGGUCUGAGGGAGUGCUAUAGCACACUUCCAGCCCGCACGCACGGUCCUGACAGAGAUUAAGACAAAAGAGGACAUAACAAGGCAGAUCAGAUCAGAACAAUGCAAGUAACACAGCAUUUUACAACAAGAAAACUCAAAAUUAACAGUAAGUACCAUAAUGUCUCCUUCUUUGAAAUAGCUGAGCAAGAGAUUUAUUUUCACAGGUCUAGAGUUGGGCCUGGGUAGCACAUACUCAUAAUUCCAGUAGUUUGGGAGGCUGAGGCAAGAGGGUUACCAUAAAUUCAACACCAGCAAGGACUACAUACUGAGUUCAAGACCAGUCUGCACUACACAGUGAAGCCCUGUCUCAAAACACCAAAAUAAAUAAAUAAAAUGAUAAGUUCAAGUCCAGCCUGGGCAAGUGAACACUUAGUGAGACCCUGUCUCAAAAUAAAGUUGUAUGUGUGAGGGGACAAGGUAUUUGUCAUACUGUGUGCCAGAAUCAUUGCCUCUCUGAUCUCUGGUAGCUCCAGGUUUUCUUCAGAAUGUGGGUGUGUCUCUCCAGGCUGGCCUCCAAAUUCACAUGUCCUCCUCUUUGUAUCAGAAUUCUCAGUCUCCAUCUCAUAAGGACACUUGUUGAAGCCAGUCAUGGUGAUACAUGCCUAUAACCUCAGCACUUGGGAGGCUGAGGCAGGAGGGUCACUGAAGCCGGCCUCAACUACAUAGCAAGUUCAAAUUCAGCUUGAACUACAAAGCAAGGUCCCCCAAAAAAAGAUCUCAAAAAAAAAGUUGUUUUUGGAUUUAGGAUUCACUUGGAUUAUUCAGGAUGAUCUAUUGUCAAGAUACCUACAUCUGCAAAGAACCUUUGCCAAAUUACAUAUAUUCCAGAUUGUGUUUUUCUUUCUCUCUCUCUCUCCCUCCCUCCCCUCUCUCUUUUUCCUUCUCUUUUUGAGACAGGGUCUUGCUAUAUAUCUGACGCUGGCUUCAAACUUGUGAUCCUCUUGCCUUAGCCUCCCAAAUGUUGGGAUUACAGGCCACCUAUCCAUGGACUGUAUGGGAAUCAGUGACUGUCUUUGUGGUUAGAAGUCUUCUCCACUCCAGGGUGUUGUCAGGCUUGGAGUCCUGGAGGCUCUGGAGAUUGUGCUGGGCAUUGGCCCAGGGCCCUGUUCUUUCCUUGACGUGCAGACUGGGCAUGAGAACAGCAGCUCCAUCCAGCAUUAUGGCCUGGUGUGUGGCUGGAGCUAGAACUUGGCUGCAACAGGACAGAAGCCUGAGCUGCAGGUCGGCUCUUGAUGGAGAGCCUGGAGCCGUUGUGGAGCUCCAGAUUCCCUCACACCACCAGCCCAGUGGUGUCUUUGUUCCUGUGAGCUUUCUGAAAGCUCUGCAGUUGACCUUCUACAGGGUUUUCCUUGGAAGCAAAGUGAGGACUGGAGACCUCAGUGCCCAGAGAGAGGCCUCCAGCCCCAGCUCACUCGUGCCUGUGAUGUGGAACCUGACCUGACCAUUGCAGCUUGCUCCUGAAGGCAACAUGGAAAACAUCAGCACCUUCACUGAACCUCACUCUGUGAAGUAGGGCAUGGUGAUACAUGUGUAACCCUCAUGAUUCCAGAGGCAAGGGGGCAGGAGCAUCAUAAAUUUAAGCCCAGCCUGGGCAAUUUAGGGAGACCCAACUCAAAAUAUAAAAUAAAGGGCUUGUAUGUUGCUCAGUGCA